Molecule: long non-coding RNA, 4740 nt
Organism: Oxyura jamaicensis (ruddy duck)
Lineage: Eukaryota; Metazoa; Chordata; Aves; Anseriformes; Anatidae
Exons: 8
Source: RefSeq, a predicted model, not a curated record
GGAUCUCAUUACCCAUUCAGUCUUAGGGAUUGCUUUCAUUCAGCAAGGCAAAAAGGCUUUGAGCAGUCCCACAAUUGCCUUAGUCUCAUUUAUUUGUGGUAGUAUUAAGGUUUAUUUGUUUUCUGGUUUGCACUUCUUCUGAAAUUAUUUCUCUUAGUUUAUUCAUUUAACAAAAUGUUCCUUCCUGUCACAGAAGAAAGUGCCUACAAGGCCUACAUAGGUUCUUCAGUCUUCAAACCUCCCUUUGAGAACAUUUCUUUCAACUCACAUUGCUGGAGCUCCUAAAUAUCUUUCAAGUGAUGCCAAGAUUGUAUGAAUAGAAGAGGGAGUACUUGGAUUAUGAGUGAAGAAGAGAGAGGAGUCCACGGAGCCAUGUGAGGUUUUGGAAGGGGAGCUGGGGGGUCCCACAUAUUUGCAAGUGUCCAGGAUGAGUUCUUCGCUUAUUUUGAAAUCAGGAAUAUCAUUGAUGAAUGGCCUCGCUCAAAUCCUGUAAUGAUGUCAAUAACAAUUCCAGUCCAGACAAUAACAAACUUCUCCAGCUGAUUGUUUUUCAUUUUUCAUGAGCACCUUCUCACUUGAGCCUGCAACAGAAAUAGUGUGGCCAGCAGGACAGGGAAGUGACUGUCUGUCUGUACUCAGCACUGAAUGCAUGCUGUGUUCCAUGUGAUAGCACUCAAGAUGAUCUGUUCCAUAAUGUCCUGUGAGACCAAGGAUGUCAACUGCUGUCCCAAAUGAGAAUGCCAAUUGAUCUACUAAACCCCGCAGAGUCAUCCAGUUUAUCUAGUUCUGUGUACCACUUAAUGCACGCAUGCAGACAGUGCCAUGUGACCAAAUGCAUGCCAGCGCCAAGUGACUGCAGAAUUCCUCUUCCUGCUGGGAUUAAUGACAGAAUCCAAAAAACAUCAACCAGGUUCCUGCAAAAGUGGAGUAGAGGCAAAUGAUGAGGUACAGCAAGUGACACCAGCAAAUUACGAAAUAGUCCCUGCAAGUUAUACAAGGAGACAGAGAAUCUAUUCUGCAUGAUCAGGAAGAACAAAGUGAUAAGAGCAGGUUUGAUGGAGGUUAUGUCUCACAGCUCUUUAGGUCAGAUAAUAAUGUGCUAUGUCAUUAAGCUGUGGUAUCACUUUCUUGACUAUUGUAACUGAUGACUCGUGAUAUGGAUAUGCUAUAAAGCAAGUAGUAUGUUUUGAAAACCCCAUCUAUAAAAUUGAGAUGUGUUUUCUGUAAGCUCUGCAUUUCUCUUUGCUCCUCCUUAGGCUAUUUCUUUGCCUUUCUGAGUCAUGAAUAAUAAACACAAGCACCUUUAUUUGACAGUUCAAAGUAAUAUAGCAAAUCACAUACAGAUCCAUGCAUAGACAUUAACACAUGCAAACAUAAGGGUAUGCACAUAUAUGAUAUUACUUGCAUAUAAUAUUCAAUAUUGUUAUGUAUGUACACGCACACUAGCAUAUGCCAUAUGUUCAAAGAGAGCAAGAAAGUGAAAGAAAGUGAGCAGGGUUGUUUAAACGAUUUUGGAAACCUUGGCUACUGUGCUGAUAAGCUUUAUGAAUAAUGCUAAAUAAAAGAGGGACCAGGAACAGAGGGCCAGGAGCACUGAGCUCCAGUUGACUGCUGUUUAAUUGUCACCUGCCUUCCUGAUGUUUUCAGCUACUCACAAUACUUCUCUUCCAAGCACAAUCUGGGGAAUAGCCUACUCUAGAAAAUAACCGCAAAAAGGCAACUUGGACAAGACUGGAUCUGUUUAAUGCCAUUUAUUUUCCUUCCACACUAUCCCAGAAGGUUUUGCACUUUCAGACAUACCUGUGUAUCUCUCCCUCAGUUUUGUGCUCUUCUGUUUUCUUUUGAUUGUUGCAGUCAACACAGCCUUCACAUUAACUGUGGUGCUCUGUUUUGAAAAUAAUUGGUAUUAAUAAUAAUAAUACAAAAGUGGUUUAUAUCCCUAGGAGCGCCACAAGGAGUCAAGGGAAGAUGGAGGGUUGUAUAAGGUGGAUAUGGCCAGUCUGCUCUAGAAGAUGCUAGCUCUCAGCAGUGGGAGCAACAUUCAGUUCAUGACACUUGGCUCUGGGACUAGGGAAAAGCUAUUUUUUGGUAGCAGCAUAGACAAAGCAAAGAAAGAUGUAUAGAGUACUUUGUAUUGAAUGUGUGUUGAAAGAGCCCAGUUCAUGUCUCUACACAAGCAAUACAGAACUCCUCAGUGAAAAUGACACAUUCAGAUUUGACUUUUUAUUAUAUUGGGACAACUGUCUGGACAGAUAAGGUGAGAGCAGUGGAUGUUUUGUACCUAGACUUCAUUAAGGCUUUUCACACUUUGAUGAUAGCCUCAUAGGCAAACUUAGGAAGUAUGGGCUGGAUGAGUGGACAGUGAGGUGGAUAGAUAACUGGCUGAAUGGCAGGUCUCAGAGUGUUGUGACCAGUGGCACAGAAUCUAGUUGGAGGCCUGUAGCUAGCAGUGUCCCCCAGGGGUCAAUACUGGGUUCACUAUUGUUAAACUUAUUCAUCAGUGACUUGGAUGAAGGGAUAGAGAGCACCCUCAGCAAGUCUGCUGAUGAUACCAAACUGAAAGGAGUGGCUGAUACACCAGAAAGCUGUGCUGGCAUUCAGAAGGAUCUUGACAGGCUGGAGAGAUGGACAGAGAGGAACAUCUCAAAAUUCAACAAAGGCAAAUUGCAGGAUCCUGCACCUUGUGAGGAAUAACCCCAUGCACCGGUACAGGCUGGAGGUUGACCUGCUGGAAAGUAGCUCUGUGGAGAAGGAACAAGGCAUCCUGAUGGACAACAAGUUAACCAUGAGCCAGCAGUGUGUCCUUGUGGCCAAGGUCUGUGAUAUCCUGGGUUGCAUUAGGAAAAGCACUGACAGCAGGUCAAGAGAGGUAAUUCUCGGCCCUGGUGUGACCACAUCUGGAGUACUGUGUCCAAUUCUGGGCUCCCCAGUAGAAGAGAGACUGGGAGCUCUGGGAGUGAGUCCAGCGAAAGGCUACCAAAAUGAUUAAGGGAGUGAAGAAUCUCUCAUAUGAGGAAAGGCUGAGGAAGCUGGGCCUGCUCAAUCUGGAGAAGUCUCAAGGAGGAUCAUGUGUAAGUAUCUGAAGGGAGAGUGUCAAGAGGAUGGGACCAGACCAUUGGUGCCCAGGAACAGGACGAGAGGCAAUGGGCAAAAACUAUAACACAAUAAGUUCAUUUGAACACGAGGAAAAACUUCUUUACAGGGAGGGUGACAAACCACUGGAGUAGGUUGUCCAUAGGGAUAAUUAUUGUUAUGUGAUCUAUUUGCAUGUAUCCAUGUUUUUGUGUGUAUAUUAUGUACCAUUUAUCCCACUAAAUCUUUCCUCCUGUACAGACAAAUCAGCUGUUAGACAUUUAAAAGCAAAAACCCAACUUUUAAAACUGUUCACUUUAAUAAUUAGGGUGAACAUAGGAGGCUUCAGCAAAUGCACAGGACUGGUGCAUUUCAAACAGGAAAAAUUGUAAGUGACAGUAACCCUUUAUCAAUUCAUUCCAAGUCAGUUAAUUAAACCAGAAAUUAUUUAAAUAAGGUGACAGUCAAAGGAAAAGGUCAAUGUUCCCAAUGUUUCAAUAGGUCUUCCUCAUCUCUGGAGUUUAAUUAACUCAUUUUGAACAAAAUUGUCAAAAGUAUGCUAAAACUCAUGAAGUUCUUUCCCUGUUUUUUAAAUGCAAAAUGACUAUUCUCAUCUCCACUGUGGAUUCUCAAACUGCCAGAAAGUGAAGAAAAUUCACUAAAUCCACAGAUAUAUAUACCUGGAACCUGAUGUAGCUGGAGAGGUGCCUUGCCAGUCCAUGGCCAACUGGUACCACUGCUGCAGAGUCCCCAUGGCAGUGGAUAUGGCUGUCACUAGGUCAGAAAAACAUCUGUGUAGCAUUUUACUCAAGUGCUGGGACUAAAGGUGCUGAUGGCCUCUUCAUUUACCUGUUCUCACUCUGACGUUUUGGGGUCAUGAAGACCUAUCUUCAUUGAAAAUAUACCUGAAAGACAGAUUCACCUCACUGCUUUCUUCCCUUUCUGUCAUCUGCCUCCGCUUUAUAAGGCCUACUCAAAAAUUUGAUUUCUUUGUAUAUAAAAUUGUGCUGUGCUUCUGUUGUGAAAGGAAUUAUGCACUUCAGUCCUUCGAGAGAAGCAGCAAUACAUUCAUUGAUGAAAACAGUGAUUUAGCAGAGUUUAAUCAUGAAUAAGACAGCAGUUUAAUGAACUUCUAAUGGUAAAUGCAACAUUAGUAAGAUUUGUGAUGGCAAGAUCACAUGAUUAUUUGCUGCAGAGAGGACAGGGUCAGAUUAAAGCAUCAGGGAGACCCUCAGGUUGAGGCAUGAGGUUCAGAAUGGAGUGUAUUUUGCCAUCCAACCUCUGUGGAGUCUAGAUACAUCCAGAUUCUAUUCCAAUCACAGACUUAAUGGUUUAUGCCUAAAGGAUUACAUGCACAGUCAAUCCUUUACAUCACUUAGCUAAGAUUACAAAGCUUCAGCAUGCUUAGCAAAUUAGUUUAAAAGUUUCAACAAGAUAGCUAUUAGUCACUUACUGAGUAUCUGUUGCAGGUUAGAAAUCUCUUGACCUUAAGGAGCAAACUUGAGAGGCAUCCCUGCUCAUGGGAAAAAUCCUGGCACACAGCCCUCUGCAAUCAAACAGAGAAUGGGUAUGAAGAGACUCUAUGAAGGAAAAUCCAAGGAGAAAAAUCCUGUACAAGAAGCUUUUUGGAAGCUGUUGAUCAAAAUAAAUUUGAUGUUACAAGCUGUA